UGCAUGAGGUGGCAAAUCCGAUGACGGCCU
Molecule: non-coding RNA, 30 nt
Filed under: Rattus norvegicus (Norway rat)
Lineage: Eukaryota; Metazoa; Chordata; Mammalia; Rodentia; Muridae
Source: RNAcentral